UACGGAGGGUGCGAGCGUUGUCCGGAAUCACUGGGCGUAAAGGGCGCGUAGGCGGCCACCGCAAGUCAGUUGUGAAAUCUCCGAGCUUAACUCGGAAAGGUCAACUGAUACUGCGGGGCUAGAGUGCGGAAGGGGCAACUGGAAUUCUCGGUGUAGCGGUGAAAUGCGUAGAUAUCGAGAGGAACACCUGCGGCGAAGGCGGGUUGCUGGGCCGACACUGACGCUGAGGCGCGAAAGCUAGGGGAGCGAACGGG
RNAcentral lists this ribosomal RNA (254 nucleotides) under uncultured bacterium. Its description in RNAcentral is "partial 16S ribosomal RNA". It matches the Rfam family "Bacterial small subunit ribosomal RNA", at positions 524 to 776 of the family's 1533-position model. The record is from RNAcentral.